UACGGAGGAUGCGAGCGUUAUCCGGAUUUAUUGGGUUUAAAGGGUGCGUAGGCGGACGCUUAAGGCAGCGGUAAAAUUGCGGGGCUCAACCUCGUCGAGCCGUUGAAACUGGGUGCCUUGAGUGGGCGAGAAGUACGCGGAAUGCGUGGUGUAGCGGUGAAAUGCAUAGAUAUCACGCAGAACUCCGAUUGCGAAGGCAGCGUACCGGCGCCCAACUGACGCUGAAGCACGAAGGCGUGGGUAUCGAACAGG
Molecule: ribosomal RNA, 252 nt
Filed under: uncultured bacterium
Lineage: Bacteria
Description: partial 16S ribosomal RNA
Rfam family: Bacterial small subunit ribosomal RNA
Source: RNAcentral